Molecule: ribosomal RNA, 468 nt
Filed under: uncultured bacterium
Lineage: Bacteria
Description: partial 16S ribosomal RNA
Rfam family: Bacterial small subunit ribosomal RNA
Source: RNAcentral
GACGAACGCUGGCGGCGUGCUUAACACAUGCAAGUCGAACGGAAAGGCCCUGCUUUUGUGGGGUGCUCGAGUGGCGAACGGGUGAGUAACACGUGAGUAACCUGCCCUUGACUUUGGGAUAACUUCAGGGAACUGGGGCUAAUACCGGAUAGGAGCUCCUGUUGCAUGGUGGGGGUUGGAAAGUUUCGGCGGUUGGGGAUGGACUCGCGGCUUAUCAGCUUGUUGGUGGGGUAGUGGCUUACCAAGGCUUUGACGGGUAGCCGGCCUGAGGGGGUGACCGGCCACAUUGGGACUGAGAUACGGCCCAGACUCCUACGGGAGGCAGCAGUGGGGAAUAUUGCACAAUGGGCGGAAGCCUGAUGCAGCAACGCCGCGUGCGGGAUGACGGCCUUCGGGUUGUAAACCGCUUUCGCCUGUGACGAAGCGUGAGUGACGGUAAUGGGUAAAGAAGCACCGGCUAACUACGUG